RNAcentral lists this long non-coding RNA (442 nucleotides) under Cricetulus griseus (Chinese hamster). RNAcentral's name for it is "lncRNA (ENSCGRG00015030284.1)". The record is from RNAcentral. Lineage: Eukaryota; Metazoa; Chordata; Mammalia; Rodentia; Cricetidae.
GCCAGCUGAGGCUACAUAGCAAGUUCCAGGCCAGCAUGAGCUACAUUGCAGACCCUAUUGAGAGGACUGACCCUCACAGAAAAUGUGAGGGGUCCAGAGUACACAGCCCCCAGGUUCUUCUGGCCCUCAGGUGAAAUGGAAAGGCUGGCUUCCUUGCUAGGUGUCUGGAGCUCUCUGGAGGUGUCAGUGCAAGAGGGAGACUACCAGCCCAGAGCUCAGCUUGAGGACUGAGUGAGCUGCCAGCCGACAACCUCAGCAAAUCCAUCUCCUUGGAAUACUUCAUCCCUACCCGACCCCCUCCACCCUUUGGCGACUUGUCAUAGCCCUGAGAACCUUCGAAUGAGACACCAGCUGCCCCUGCCUGUCGCGGGCUGAAUGUCCACGAUUCCUGCCUGUCUCCCGCGAUCAGGGGCAGGGAGUGGCGCUUCUUUACUCAAGCCAG